GAUGAACGCUGGCGGCGUGCCUAAUACAUGCAAGUUGAGCGAACAGACGAGGAGCUUGCUCCUCUGACGUUAGCGGCGGACGGGUGAGUAACACGUGGAUAACCUACCUAUAAGACUGGGAUGACUUCGGGAAACCGGAGCUAAUACCGGAUAAUAUAUUGAACCGCAUGGUUCAAUAGUGAAAGACGGUUUUGCUGUCACUUAUAGAUGGAUCCGCGCCGCAUUAGCUAGUUGGUAAGGUAACGGCUUACCAAGGCAACGAUGCGUAGCCGACCUGAGAGGGUGAUCGGCCACACUGGAACUGAGACACGGUCCAGACUCCUACGGGAGGCAGCAGUAGGGAAUCUUCCGCAAUGGGCGAAAGCCUGACGGAGCAACGCCGCGUGAGUGAUGAAGGUCUUCGGAUCGUAAAACUCUGUUAUUAGGGAAGAACAAAUGUGUAAGUAACUAUGCACGUCUUGACGGUACCUAAUCAGAAAGCCACGGCUAACUACGUG
This 497-nucleotide ribosomal RNA is filed under the name uncultured bacterium. RNAcentral describes it as "partial 16S ribosomal RNA". It matches the Rfam family "Bacterial small subunit ribosomal RNA", at positions 28 to 507 of the family's 1533-position model. The record is from RNAcentral.